Molecule: ribosomal RNA, 506 nt
Filed under: uncultured bacterium
Lineage: Bacteria
Description: partial 16S ribosomal RNA
Rfam family: Bacterial small subunit ribosomal RNA
Source: RNAcentral
GAUGAACGCUAGCUACAGGCUUAACACAUGCAAGUCGAGGGGUAACAAGAGGAAAGCUUGCUUUUCUUGUUGACGACCGGCGCACGGGUGAGUAACGCGUAUCCAACCUGCCUAUAACUAGGGAAUAACCUUGCGAAAGUAAGACUAAUACCCUAUGAUUUCCUUUGAUGACAUCAGAUUAGGAAUAAAGAUUCAUCGGUUAUAGAUGGGGAUGCGUCUGAUUAGCUUGUUGGCGGGGUAACGGCCCACCAAGGCAACGAUCAGUAGGGGUUCUGAGAGGAAGGUCCCCCACAUUGGAACUGAGACACGGUCCAAACUCCUACGGGAGGCAGCAGUGAGGAAUAUUGGUCAAUGGGCGGAAGCCUGAACCAGCCAAGUAGCGUGCAGGAUGACGGCCCUAUGGGUUGUAAACUGCUUUUAUACAGGAAUAAAGUUAGCCACGUGUGGUUAUCUGUAGGUACUGUAUGAAUAAGGACCGGCUAAUUCCGUGCCAGCAGCCGCCGUAA